GACGAACGCUGGCUGCGUGCUUAACACAUGCAAGUCGAACGCUGAAACCCUGGUGCUUGCACCGGGGUGGAUGAGUGGCGAACGGGUGAGUAACACGUGAGUAACCUGCCCCCGGCUUCGGGAUAAGCCCGGGAAACAGGGUCUAAUACCGGAUAUGAGCGCCCCUCGCAUGAGGGAUGCUGGAAAGUCUUUUCGGUUGGGGAUGGGCUCGCGGCCUAUCAGUUUGUUGGUGAGGUAAUGGCUCACCAAGACGACGACGGGUAGCCGGCCUGAGAGGGCGACCGGCCACACUGGGACUGAGACACGGCCCAGACUCCUACGGGAGGCAGCAGUGGGGAAUAUUGCACAAUGGGGGAAACCCUGAUGCAGCGACGCAGCGUGCGGGAUGACGGCCUUCGGGUUGUAAACCGCUUUCAGCAGGGAAGAAGCCCCUUGGGGUGACGGUACCUGCAGAAGAAGUACCGGCUAACUACGUGCCAGCCGCCGCAGUAA
RNAcentral lists this ribosomal RNA (492 nucleotides) under uncultured bacterium. RNAcentral describes it as "partial 16S ribosomal RNA". It matches the Rfam family "Bacterial small subunit ribosomal RNA", at positions 28 to 523 of the family's 1533-position model. The record is from RNAcentral.